This 163-nucleotide unclassified non-coding RNA is filed under the name fungal sp. RNAcentral describes it as "partial internal transcribed spacer region". The stretch from base 1 to 46 matches the Rfam family "Eukaryotic small subunit ribosomal RNA", at positions 1786 to 1831 of the family's 1831-position model. Lineage: Eukaryota; Fungi. The record is from RNAcentral.
AAGUCGUAACAAGGUCUCCGUUGGUGAACCAGCGGAGGGAUCAUUAAAGAGUUGCAAAACUCCUUUAAAAACCUAUCUUUAUAAACUCUUGUCAUUAGUGGCCUCUCUGAGUCGUACUUUAAAAAAUGAGUCAAAACUUUCAACAACGGAUCUCUUGGUUCUG